RNAcentral lists this small RNA (28 nucleotides) under Bombyx mori (domestic silkworm). RNAcentral describes it as "ovarian small RNA-8176". The record is from RNAcentral. Lineage: Eukaryota; Metazoa; Arthropoda; Insecta; Lepidoptera; Bombycidae.
UGACUGGAGGGGGAGCCACAGUUGAUGC